Molecule: ribosomal RNA, 583 nt
Filed under: uncultured fungus
Lineage: Eukaryota; Fungi
Description: eukaryotic LSU rRNA
Rfam family: 5.8S ribosomal RNA (bases 213-366)
Source: RNAcentral
AAGUCGUAACAAGGUCUCCGUUGGUGAACCAGCGGAGGGAUCAUUACAGAGUUGCAAAACUCCCAAACCAUCGUGAACGUUACCUAUAUCGUUGCUUCGGCGGGUGGCUCGGCCUCGGCCCUGCCCUAGGCCCCUCUCGGGGGCCCGCCGGAGGUCUACCAAACUCUUGAAUUUACAUGGCCUCUCUGAGUCUUCUGUACUGAAUAAGUCAAAACUUUCAACAACGGAUCUCUUGGUUCUGGCAUCGAUGAAGAACGCAGCGAAAUGCGAUAAGUAAUGUGAAUUGCAGAAUUCAGUGAAUCAUCGAAUCUUUGAACGCACAUUGCGCCCGCCGGCAUUCUGGCGGGCAUGCCUGUUCGAGCGUCAUUUCAACCCUCAGACCCCCGGGCCUCCCGGGGGGCUGGCGUUGGGGACCGGCCCCGCCCCGUGCGGCGGCCGCCCCCGAAAUCCAGUGGCGGUCACGCCGCGGCUUCCUCUGCGUAGUAGCAAUCGCCUCGCAGCAUGGGACGCGGCGCGGCCACGCCCGAAAAUCAUACAUCUCGUGGUUGACCUCGGAUCAGGUAGGAGUACCCGCUGAACUUAA